Long non-coding RNA from Daphnia carinata, 1628 nucleotides. RefSeq lists it as uncharacterized. The transcript is spliced from 5 exons. NCBI's taxonomy places the organism in Eukaryota, Metazoa, Arthropoda, Branchiopoda, Diplostraca, Daphniidae. The record is from RefSeq and is a predicted model, not a curated record.
AGUAGUGAUUUCCACAAACGAACCUAGGACCGUGAACGUUUAACUAGGGCCAUAAGACCAAGGAAAUGGAAAAUGCAAUAGAUAAAAAGCAUGCUGCAAGGGAAAUUGAAGUUCUCACAGCGAAUGGAUGUAACAUUUUGCCAUUGUACAGCAGAUAGAGCUUCAUUUGUGUACAGAAACCACGAAAGAUAUUUGGUCCACGACACGUAAUCUGGCAACGAGCUGUCAAAAUAGUAAUCGGUUUAAUAGUAUUUAACUUUGUGGUUAAGCUAGAUACUAAUGUAAUACCUGAGACUGAUGAGCACACCUCCAGUGAUGAAAAGAAUGUAAUCGAAAGGAAUGAGGAAGCUUAUAGCCACUGCAAUGGAUUCGCAAGCAGCUGAAAAGAACGUUCCUAAAUGAUUCAAGAAUCGUAAAUACUCGAUAGAGAGCAGAAGUAGACAUAAAUGAAAAAUAUGAACUCCCAACACUAACCACAUGCAGCAGCAGUAUUGCAAGUAACCAUCAGAAUCCAGCAAGAAUAUAGAAAAGCACCAGCUUCUGGUUUCAGCCCCAUUAGCCAGUAGGCAAUAGAAACGAAAACGAAAGUUUCAACAACAUAUCCUGGCAUCUGCAUCAAUUAGAGAUAAUUGGACACUAUACUUGCCAUUUCGUUUUUACGCAAAACAAAGAAGAAAGUCAGGUAAACAUACCAAGGCUACUACUUUAGAAAGGUAGUAAGCAGAAGGUGAAUAGAGUCCACUGCGUGCAUCUCUCAAGAAUAAUGGCCACUCCAUGGGAAAAAUUCCUAAGGCACCGUAAAGGGCAGGAAAAGUGUUUUCGGUGGUUAGGAUGAAUAAAGCACCCUGGAUAUUUUGAAUAGUCUUUUGAUCUCUUGUGCCCAGCACGCCAUGGAAGCAAAGUCCCGCGAGAAGAGCGAUUGCCUACAAAUUCAAACGAUUUCCACUUGGAUCUUUCAGAGAUAAGUUAUAUUGAAAUUAUCGUACGAUUUUCUGGAUGAUACGUAGGGUGUGCACAGCUGGAUUGCGAUAUGAAUCAACAAAAGCUCGCCAUAGCAGCCAAAUGAACUGUAUCAUCCAUCGUGCUUGGUGACUAUGUUCAACAGGUUGAUAGCCUUUCUUUGUAGACAGAUCCAACAUUUCCUGGCCGAGGCUCGUCUCGAACUGAAUGAGAAGAUCUAUUUGUUUUGCUGUGGACGUUACGAUGAACCGAUCGCAAAUAGCUCGGACUGUUGCACGACUAGUAUCUUCCAAUCCAGGGAUAACAGCUAGCGUUUGUACGUAGAAAUCUGCAGGAUUAUAAUUUACAUUUUGUGGCAAAUUGUAUCAACCUUUGGAAGAAACCAAGAGCACCAGCUGAAGAACCUUGAUAAGCAAUACGACCCUCAGCCAACAGAACAAGACGAUCAAACAUGGCAAAUGUUUCCGACGAAGGCUGAUGGAUGGUACAAACCACCGUUUUCCCCCAGAUGGAAACCUUUCAACAUCAAAACAAGUCUCUCGGCAGAGAAAGUGUCAAGACCGGUAGUUGGUUCAUCACAGAAGAGGACAGGGGGAUCAGUCAACACCUGUGUUAGAGACGUCUAAGAAAGUAAAAUGUAAAAAACCGUGAAAACAAAAUUUACUUGA